UGCCCAGCAACUCCUAUCCCUACCUCCUCGCGGUACUGGCCGGGGUACGAGUAACCUUGGGGAAGAUCGGGUAACCAACCCCCGGUGGGAACUUUGGUCGUAUGCUGACAGGGAAUG
RNAcentral lists this ribozyme (117 nucleotides) under Aedes aegypti (yellow fever mosquito). RNAcentral describes it as "drz-agam-1 ribozyme". It matches the Rfam family "drz-agam-1 ribozyme". Lineage: Eukaryota; Metazoa; Arthropoda; Insecta; Diptera; Culicidae. The record is from Rfam by way of RNAcentral.